UUUAUAUUUAAUUUUACUUAAUUUUGAAACUUAUACACUUAAAAGUAUUUAUUUUAUUAAUAAAUUCAAAGUAAAUUUCAAAAAUCUGUAUACAUAAUCGUGUAAAUUACUCCAUCGUGUAUUAUUAUACAUGAUCGUGAUGGUGUUGCGAUGACUUUGGAUCCAAAUUAAAGAAGGUUGCCCUUAUCAAUCAUCAUCAAAUUCCCAAGCGAAACCAUCUUCACUCAUUCACUCAAUCGACCACCACGGAUUCAAUCUUCAAUAGUGCUUUAAUUACACCCUCUUAAAGAUUGAAUCUAUACGUUUCAAACUAUCCAACAGUAUUGUGACACGUAGAAUACGCUUCACCGACGAACCGUGUCACAAGCUUGAAUCUUAUUGCUGCUCCACCACUUCCAUUAUCGUAAUCAGAUUGCAUCUAUUUCUUCCCUUCAAUCUUUCAUUAAAUCUCUUUCCUCGCUCUCCACCUCCUGUGUUGCAGAAGCUGCUCCCUUCACUGACAUAAUCGCCAACAGUUCAUUUGGAAAAUUAAAUCACGAAUAUCCUUUUAGUUCUGAGGGAUGAAGAUGUGAUGUCGUAGGUAUAAUCUGUAACUAAAGACCAAAGAAAGUAAAGUUAAGAGUUCAGAAUGGGAUUCGUGGUGGUGAUAUCAUUGCCGUUAAUAUUGAUCAUCUUGAUAUUGGCUUUGGGGUGUUACCUGUGUGGCCGGGCCAAGGGUCGGCGACAAAACCCACAGCAGUAUGGGCCUCCUGCUCCUCCAGUACAGGCCCAACCCAAAUAAUGCCUACCUUGUGGUUCAUAGCUUAAUCUUGAAUAAAAUAGUAGAGCAUUGAAAUUUGUUUCCACAUUAGUGGGUAUAUUUGGUGAUUAAAUAUUUAAGUUCAUGACUUCAAAAAAAAAAAAUGAAGUAAAAUUAAUUAGUUAUUUGAUUUUCGUGUUUAAA
Long non-coding RNA from Vigna radiata var. radiata (mung bean), 943 nucleotides. RefSeq lists it as uncharacterized. The record is from RefSeq and is a predicted model, not a curated record. The transcript is spliced from 2 exons. NCBI's taxonomy places the organism in Eukaryota, Viridiplantae, Streptophyta, Magnoliopsida, Fabales, Fabaceae.